CCUGAGUACGACGGAGCACGUGAAAUUCCGUCGGAAUCUGGGAGGACCAUCUCCUAAGGCUAAAUACUCUCUAGUGACCGAUAGUGAACCAGUACCGUGAGGGAAAGGUGAAAAGUACCCCGGAAGGGGAGUGAAAGAGAACUUGAAACCGUGUGCUUACAAGUAGUCAGAGCCCGUUAAUGGGUGAUGGCGUGCCUUUUGUAGAAUGAACCGGCGAGUUACGAUCUGAUGCAAGGUUAAGCAGAAAAUGUGGAGCCGUAGCGAAAGCGAGUCUGAAUAGGGCGAAUGAGUAUUUGGUCGUAGACCCGAAACCAGGUGAUCUACCCUUGGUCAGGUUGAAGUUCAGGUAACACUGAAUGGAGGACCGAACCGACUUACGUUGAAAAGUGAGCGGAUGAACUGAGGGUAGCGGAGAAAUUCCAAUCGAACUUGGAGAUAGCUGGUUCUC
This 448-nucleotide ribosomal RNA is filed under the name Staphylococcus pseudintermedius. RNAcentral's name for it is "partial 23S ribosomal RNA". It matches the Rfam family "Bacterial large subunit ribosomal RNA", at positions 407 to 857 of the family's 2925-position model. Lineage: Bacteria; Bacillati; Bacillota; Bacilli; Caryophanales; Staphylococcaceae. The record is from RNAcentral.